CUGCCGCCCACCACCGCUCACUGCGUGCCUCUUCCUUAUCCACACACAACACACAACACACAAACAUCGGCCAUUCCACCUCCUCUUCUUCAUCCACCCCGAUCUAAGCCCACGAACAGCUUGGCCUAGCCUUCCCACCGUGCGCAGCCGUGGUGGCUGGCGGGGGCCAGGGCAGCAACCCCCCUGUCGGUGAGGAACCACGAGAGGACGCCAUGGAUGGCGGUUUGGAGCUGCGUCGCCCGAUCUGGCCGCCAGCCCAGUAUCUGAUCCCUGCGUCGGCUUCGGCUCGAUUCGGACGUCCAUAGCCUCCGCCACCUGUGCAUGCCCCCCCCUAGGUCCGGCCGAUGAUCUCGCGCCGCUUCGUCUGCUCGCGUUGACCCCGAGAAGGCCAACGCCUCGUCGUCCAGCCGCGGCCCGGCCUGUGACGGCGGCGGCGGCGGCAUCCCCGUGCCGUGGUGGUGGAGCUCUCCGGUGGGUGGCUGGGCGACAGGGGAUGCGGGGCUGGCUCGGUUGCUCGCCAGAUCGGCAGGCCUGUGUGGAGGCGCGGGAGGCGGUCUGGCGCAGCGCCUGCUGUGUGUCGUCCUCGGCAGCUGCCUGGCGGGAUGCGUUGUGGUGGUGCCGUGUGCACUGCGGCUGCCAAUGCAGGGAGGGAGAGGAGGGCGAUGCGAGCGGGUGCGGGUGGAUGCGGGUGACUCCUUUUUUUCCCCGACGAACCGUUAUUUUCACUUAUGCACGUGACUGCGGGUUAAUUACCAACAAACAAAGGGACUUUUCUGUAAAAACGCCGCCGACGUACGACAUAAACCCAAUUCUCUUUAUUAUUAGGUAAAGAGAGCAGAUAUAUUGCCUUUGAAUUUACUUCUAUCUGGAGAGGGACAGGUCUGUAGUAGAUUUGUUUUCAAAACAAAUCUCUAAGGUGAGGAUAGGGGUAGCGAUGGAGAAAUGGUGUAGAUGGUGGCUGAGAGGGAGGGGCCGAAAGAAAUACGUCCACAUUUGUAGCUAUAGAGUAACUGGUGAACACAUACUUUGCUUGUUUAUAUUUUCCAGAAUAGUACUCCCUCCGUCCGAAAAUACUUGUCAGAAAAAUGGAUAAAAAUGAAUAUAUCUAAAACUAAAAUAUGUCUAGAUACAUUCAUUUCUCCGACAAGUAUUUUUGGACAGAGGGAGUAUAAAGGAAUGGCGUGUGUCGUCUGUAACAUGCCCCCUUUGUUUGAAUAUUCAACCAGGAGCAAUUUCAUCUCAUUUGGCAACGAGCAUUGAGACGUUUUUUUGUUGUCAAAAAAGGUCUUAUAUUUUGACA
Triticum dicoccoides is the source of this 1300-nucleotide RNA transcript. RefSeq lists it as uncharacterized. Lineage: Eukaryota; Viridiplantae; Streptophyta; Magnoliopsida; Poales; Poaceae. The transcript is spliced from 4 exons. The record is from RefSeq and is a predicted model, not a curated record.